Molecule: ribosomal RNA, 786 nt
Filed under: Pravonitor laura
Lineage: Eukaryota; Metazoa; Mollusca; Gastropoda; Stylommatophora; Helicarionidae
Description: partial large subunit ribosomal RNA
Rfam family: Archaeal large subunit ribosomal RNA (bases 434-569)
Source: RNAcentral
UAUUGUUAGAAAUUUACUGAAAAGGUAAAUUAUAAUAAAUGUAAAUAUACCUUUUGCAUAAUGGUUAAACAAUAAAAACUAAGAUUUAUAUAUCCCGAAGUUAGAAGAUCUAAUUUUAUUAAAUUUAUUAGAAAAAUAAUGUUUCAAAAUUAUAAAUAAAUAAAAUUAGGGGUGAAAGGCUUAUCAAUUCUAUUGAUAUCUGGAAUAAUUUUAAAUGUACUUAGUACAGAACAAAUUUGAGUAAAAAAAUGUUAAGAUUUUUUUAAUAAGAAUAAUAAUUCAUAAAACUGUUUAAAAUCCUUAUUUUUCAUUAUAUUAAAAAUUAUUUAUUUUAAUAUCUUCAGUAAAAUUAUGUUUAAAUUCUUUAAGAUUUAAUUAUGUUUAAAUUAGUAUUAUUCUUAUUUUAAAAUAAGGAACUCGGCUAAUUAUUCGUCUGUUUAUCAAAAACAUAGUCUUAUGAUAUAAGGUUAGACCUGCCCAUUGAGUAUUUUAACGGCCGCAGUACCUUGACUGUGCUAAGGUAGCAUAAUAAAUUGACCUUUAAUUGGGGCCUUGAAUGAAAGGAUUGAUAAUUUCUGUCUUUAUUAACUAAUUAAAAUUUACUUAAAAGGUGAAAAUUCCUUUAAGAAUUAAAAAAGACGAGAAGACCCUAGGAGUUUACUGUUUUGUUGGGGCGACAAUGUAACAUAACUUACAUUAUUUAAAAUUUAACAAUAAUUAUAAUAAAAAAUAAACUACCCUAGGGAUAACAGCAUAAUUUAUUAAGUUUGUGACCUCGAUGUUGGA